AGGGGCAUCGGGGCGAGGAGCAAUCCUUGCCGCCGGUGACCGGCCCAUUGGUGAGUAACGCGUAUGCGACCUGCCCGUUGCAGGGGGAUAAUCGGGAGAAAUCCCGUCUAAUACCGCGUAACGCCGCGGGGCUGCAUGGCCCUGCGGCCAAAGGGAGCGAUUCCGGCAACGGAUGGGCAUGCGUGACAUUAGCUAGUUGGCGGGGCAACGGCCCACCAAGGCGACGAUGUCUAGGGGUUCUGAGAGGAAGGUCCCCCACACUGGUACUGAGACACGGACCAGACUCCUACGGGAGGCAGCAGUGAGGAAUAUUGGUCAAUGGGCGCGAGCCUGAACCAGCCAAGUCGCGUGAGGGAUGACGGCCCUACGGGUUGUAAACCUCUUUUGUCGGGGAGCAAAUUCCGCCACGUGUGGCGGAGUCGAGAGUACCCGAAGAAAAAGCAUCGGCUAACUCCGUGCCAGCAGCCGCGGUAAUACGGAGGAUGCGAGCGUUAUCCGGAUUUAUUGGGUUUAAAGGGUGCGUAGGCGGACUGUCAAGUCAGCGGUAAAAUACGGGGGCUCAACCUCCGCCCGCCGUUGAAACUGACGGUCUUGAGUGGGCGAGAAGUAUGCGGAAUGCGUGGUGUAGCGGUGAAAUGCAUAGAUAUCACGCAGAACUCCGAUUGCGAAGGCAGCAUACCGGCGCCCAACUGACGCUGAAGCACGAAAGCGUGGGUAUCGAACA
This 724-nucleotide ribosomal RNA is filed under the name uncultured bacterium. RNAcentral describes it as "bacterial SSU rRNA". It matches the Rfam family "Bacterial small subunit ribosomal RNA", at positions 65 to 774 of the family's 1533-position model. The record is from RNAcentral.